AUUGAACGCUGGCGGCAUGCCUUACACACGCAAGUCGAACGGUAACAGCUCUUCGGAUGCUGACGAGUGGCGAACGGGUGAGUAAUACAUCGGAACGUGCCUAGUAGUGGGGGAUAACUACUCGAAAGAGUGGCUAAUACCGCAUGAGAUCUACGGAUGAAAGCAGGGGAUCGCAAGACCUUGUGCUACUAGAGCGGCCGAUGGCAGAUUAGGUAGUUGGUGGGAUAAAAGCUUACCAAGCCGACGAUCUGUAGCUGGUCUGAGAGGACGAUCAGCCACACUGGGACUGGGACACGGCCCAGACUCCUACGGGAGGCAGCAGUGGGGAAUUUUGGACAAUGGGCGAAAGCCUGAUCCAGCAAUGCCGCGUGCAGGAUGAAGGCCUUCGGGUUGUAAACUGCUUUUGUACGGAACGAAAAGCCCUGGGUUAAUACCCUGGGGUCAUGACGGUACCGUAAGAAUAAGCACCGGCUAACUACGUGCCAGCCGCCGCCGUAA
This 498-nucleotide ribosomal RNA is filed under the name uncultured bacterium. Its description in RNAcentral is "partial 16S ribosomal RNA". It matches the Rfam family "Bacterial small subunit ribosomal RNA", at positions 30 to 523 of the family's 1533-position model. The record is from RNAcentral.